UUUUAGCUGGAAAAGAAAAGAAAUGGACAAUUGCAUUUUUUUUUGAAUGAGUAUAAUGGGCACAGCUUUUAGCAUCAGCUUUUGGAAAAUAAAACAAUAAACUGACUCUACAAUUUUUUUUUAUCUGAUUUUUCCACAGAUCAUGAGCCUGAAUGAGGACCGACUCUGUGCCCGAGGACACCUCCAUCGGUUCAAUAUAUUUAGACAAAAAGCGAUUUGUUUCGGAAUCGUUUUUUCAAAAUGUCUCCAAAAGUAAUCGCCAUCAUUUUCUGCCACAUGACGCAGUUAUAUCUGUCACAUGGCAGACAUACACAACGCGUAAUGGCUGAUGCAGUAGUGGAAACCGCCCGGUAUGUGCCUAGCAGUCGUUACCGAGGGGAAUAUCGAUUGCGCACUAAUAUCGAGGCCAGAUUACGUCGGCAAACUACUAAAACUAAUGCACAUUUCGGUUUCCUUUGUUCUACAGGAGCGUUUCCACCCCGAAGUGCAGGAAAAAAUACUUUUUAAAAAAUAAUCAAGAAAAAAAAUUAUUCACCGACAGGAAAUUAAUUCCAACAAUUAAUCCUCAGAUCUGAGGGCUAAAAAACUCACCCCAACUGGAGCCAGUUCGUCCAAGAAACUGUCCCGUCUCGGAAUUGUACAAAAAUGUAGAGAACGACUCCCAUUUUCCAAGUUUAGGGGGUGGUGUGUAGUACUGCUCGACUUUUUUAUCCUCCAUUGAUAAAACUUUUUAACUAAUAAAUAUAUUAAUUUUAACAAUAAUUUAUAACUGUUGGAUGAACUUUUUUUUCUUUUUAUUUUAGAACAGAGAUACGGUGAUGGCUUCGGCUGGCUGGUGCUGGUGUGAUCGACCAGCUACGGGUGGGCGAGGACACGAAAGAAAGAGGUCUGUGCCGCGCACUCUCGUAUUACUCUGCU
Long non-coding RNA from Diachasmimorpha longicaudata, 918 nucleotides. RefSeq lists it as uncharacterized. The record is from RefSeq and is a predicted model, not a curated record. Lineage: Eukaryota; Metazoa; Arthropoda; Insecta; Hymenoptera; Braconidae. The transcript has 2 exons.